GUCCACGCCGUAAACGAUGAGUGCUAGACGCUGGGGAGCAUGCUCUUCGGUGUCGCAGCUAACGCAUUAAGCACUCCGCCUGGGGAGUACGGUCGCAAGAUUAAAACUCAAAGGGAAUUGACGGGGGCCCGCACAAGCGGUGGAGCAUGUGGUUUAAUUCGAAGCAACGCGAAGAACCUUACCAACCCUUGACAUGGGACGUAUGGGUCCGAGAGAUCGGGUCCUUCAGUUCGGCUGGCGUCCACACAGGUGCUGCAUGGCUGUCGU
RNAcentral lists this ribosomal RNA (267 nucleotides) under uncultured bacterium. RNAcentral's name for it is "partial 16S ribosomal RNA". It matches the Rfam family "Bacterial small subunit ribosomal RNA", at positions 793 to 1055 of the family's 1533-position model. The record is from RNAcentral.